UUGGAGGGCAAGUCUGGUGCCAGCAGCCGCGGUAAUUCCAGCUCCAAUAGCGUAUAUUAAAGUUGUUGCAGUUAAAAAGCUCGUAGUUGAACCUCGGGGUCUACCCAUUGGUCAGGCUUAAUUGUCUGCACUGGUGAGAUGGAUCUCUACCUUCUGAGGAACUUUCAUGCCAUUUAUUUGGUGUGAUGGGAAAUCAGGACUGUUACUUUGAAAAAAUUAGAGUGUUUAAAGCAGGC
Molecule: ribosomal RNA, 236 nt
Filed under: uncultured Diversispora
Lineage: Eukaryota; Fungi; Glomeromycota; Glomeromycetes; Diversisporales; Diversisporaceae
Description: partial 18S rRNA
Rfam family: Eukaryotic small subunit ribosomal RNA
Source: RNAcentral